GUGCUCGCUUCAGCAGCAUAUACACUAAAAUUGGAGUGAUGCAGAGAAGAUUAGUGUGGCCCCUGAGCAAGGAUGACACACAGAUUUGUGAAGUGUUCCAUAUUUUU
Small nuclear RNA from Octodon degus (degu), 107 nucleotides. The record is from Ensembl. NCBI's taxonomy places the organism in Eukaryota, Metazoa, Chordata, Mammalia, Rodentia, Octodontidae.